Molecule: ribosomal RNA, 911 nt
Filed under: uncultured bacterium
Lineage: Bacteria
Description: bacterial SSU rRNA
Rfam family: Bacterial small subunit ribosomal RNA
Source: RNAcentral
AGUAGUUUGAUCCUUGGGCUCAGGACGAACGCUUGGCGGCGUGCUUAACACAUGGCAAGUCGAACGGAAGUUACGAGGAAGCUUAGCGAAUUGUAACUUUAGUGGCGGACGGGUGAGUAACGCGUGGAUAACCUGCCUACAUGACCGGGACAACACCGGGAAACUGGUGCUAAUACCGGAUACGCUCACGAAUGCACAUGCAUAUGUGAGGAAAGGAGCAAUCCGCAGGUAGAUGGGUCCGCGUCCCAUUAGCUAGUUGGGGGUGUAAAAGACCACCAAGGCGACGAUGGGUAGCCGGCCUGAGAGGGUGGACGGCCACACUGGAACUGAGACACGGUCCAGACUCCUACGGGAGGCAGCAGUGGGGAAUCUUCCGCAAUGGGCGCAAGCCUGACGGAGCAACGCCGCGUGAGUGAAGAAGGCUUUCGGGUUGUAAAACUCUGUCUUCAGGGAAGAAAGAAAUGACGGUACCUGAGGAGGAAGCCCCGGCUAACUACGUGCCAGCAGCCGCGGUAAAACGUAGGGGGCGAGCGUUGUCCGGAAUUACUGGGCGUAAAGGGCGCGUAGGCGGUUUCUUAAGUCAGAGGUGAAAACUGUGGGCUCAACCCACAGCCUGCCUUUGAAACUGGGAGACUUGAGGGCAGGAGAGGGGAGUGGAAUUCCCAGUGUAGCGGUGAAAUGCGUAGAUAUUGGGAGGAACACCAGUGGCGAAGGCGGCUCUCUGGCCUGUUUCUGACGCUGAGGCGCGAAAGCGUGGGGAGCAAACGGGAUUAGAUACCCCGGUAGUCCACGCCGUAAACGAUGGGUGCUAGGUGUAGGAGGUAUCGACCCCUUCUGUGCCGUAGUUAACACAAUAAGCACCCCGCCUGGGGAGUACGGCCGCAAGGUUGAAACUCAAAUGAAUUGACGGA